UACGUAGGGGGCAAGCGUUGUCCGGAUUUAUUGGGCGUAAAGAGCGUGUAGGCGGCUAGGUAGGUCCGUUGUGAAAACUCGAGGCUCAACCUCGAGCUGUCGAUGGAAACCAUUUGGCUAGAGUCCGGAAGAGGAGAGUGGAAUUCCUGGUGUAGCGGUGAAAUGCGCAGAUAUCAGGAAGAACACCCGUGGCUAAGGCGGCUCUCUAGUACGGUACUGACGCUGAGACGCGAAAGCAUGGGGAGCGAACAGG
Molecule: ribosomal RNA, 253 nt
Filed under: uncultured bacterium
Lineage: Bacteria
Description: partial 16S ribosomal RNA
Rfam family: Bacterial small subunit ribosomal RNA
Source: RNAcentral